Non-coding RNA from Chrysemys picta bellii (western painted turtle), 1523 nucleotides. The record is from RefSeq and is a predicted model, not a curated record. NCBI's taxonomy places the organism in Eukaryota, Metazoa, Chordata, Testudines, Emydidae.
AGUUUCAGAAACGGCAGCCGAGAGUAAAAGGCACGGCUUCUCAAACAGCCUGUGUUACAGCCUGGCCGCCGCGCAAUCCCGGCAGUGACAGAGAUUUGACCAGCUCCGAGAAGGGGAAGCAGUGAGAGGCGACUACAACGAAUUUGGGAAAGCGACAGGUCGCAUCAAGCGAGAAGUGACUGAAUUCCCCCGUCCCUCCAGCUCCGGAUGCAAGUGAGCGGAGAGGGGAGAUGCACUAGGUCCUAGCCUGCUGUGACUCCAUCUAGAAGACAGAGCCUGCUGAACCCACCCCAGAAAUGGAAGACAAUGUGAGCAGACAAAGGCAUAACCAGAUCCCAGGGCCAGACGUUGACAUUAGAAAAAUCCAAACUGGAACUAAGACAACUUGUGAAUGGUGAAGUGACAAUGCUGGACGGAGCUGGCUGCUGGGAUACGGUCUGGAAGCGUAGAGGGAAAGCCCCGGCUGCUGAAGACAUAGGUAGCUAUGUAGUGGAACUCCAUUACACAUGUGCCUUCUUCAAGAAUGUCUCUUGUCCUCCUGUGGAGUCAUGAGAUAUGAAAGCUCUCCGAUUCUGGCAGGGAACGGCCAUCAGCUUCUGAUCCAGGAAGUGAUCAGAACAAUUUGUAGAAAAGAUUAUUAAUAUUCAGCAAUAUAAAGUCUGUUAGACACUAACCCAUAAAAGUUGCUUGUAUUUAUGAAGAGGAGGGAUAUAUUGCCAUCUAGUGCCUAGUCAAUAAAAUCGACAAGACUCAUUUUAACAUCUUUGGUAUCAACCUGUUUCUUCAAACCUAUCAGUGCCUAAAAGAGACGUGACCCCCUAAUAUUUAUCAUCCUGAAAGAAAGCAGCGAACAGAGCUAAAAUAGAACUUGCUUGAGAAGCUGGCUGCACAGUACCUCUGACAAAAGAACGGUUAGGACAAGGAGUAAGAUUAAGUCUCAAGCGUUACUGAGGCCUGCAGAAAAAUCUGUCAAGUGAAGCAAGAUCAGAUACACGCACAAAACAGAAAUGACAGUUCACGUUUAUAAUUUUAUCUACAUUUGUGUUGGCUUCGUAACUCACAACUAAUGACCCAGCUAAGCCGUCCUGGCGUGCACCGUACGGAGUUCAGUUGUGGAUUACUGCAAUGUGCUAUUAAUCAAGACCUAACAUGAGCCAAGUCCCUAAAUCUAUUACAAAUUAGGACAGUUAUUAGCCCAAGCUACUAUAUAGAUGCAUUUUCCUUCUCCCCAAGAGAGAGUUUUAAGCUCCUCUGAUCCUUUAAAAGGAGCAGAUAUGAACGUCUGAACUGUUCUGCUUAGUUUAACUUCUUUCCUAAUGAGCUAAUAUCCACCAAGUCCAUACACAUUCAUUUUGGGCCCAGUUUUACGCUGAGUGAGACAGGUGCAACUGUCACUGGAGGUAAAUGGGAGAAUGACAUCAUGACACGGGGGAGAAUUUGACCGUCUGUCUAGCCCAGGGGUCAGCAACCUUUCAGAAGUGGUGUGCCGAGUCUUCAUUUAUUCACUCUAAUUUAAGGUUUCG